UUAGAAAUGCAUAAUAUUCGAGGCUAACUGUAGCUUUAGUCAUUUUCUCGAUGUAAAGAGCGAUAAUAUGCCGUGAACAUCAAUCCAAAUAUCAAUGUGUGAUAAAAAUUGCGAAAGUGAAAUAUCAGCAAUUAAUUAAUCUGAUAUAAUGAAAGCACUACGAGAUUUUCUACUAUUACGCCAUACAUUUAUAACUUCGAAACAAAUGCAAAUUAAAACGCAAACAACAUACGCUCGCAUGCACGACGAUUUAGCGUCACAAGAGCAAUAGAAGCUCAUUGGUCCAUUUUCGAAACUCCUCCCUCAGUGGCUACGCUGAUGUGCACCUGUGAAAUAUGCGCACCGGCACAGUUUAAGCUCUGUCAAAAGCCCAUUUUUAAGAACUUCAGAUUUCUACAAUGAGAGGUGUAAUGGAAUUUUCAUUACAGGAUAUUUAAAGGGAGUUCCUUCCAGUAUGACCAUUGAUACAGAAGACAAUAUUGCUGAAAAGAUUUGGUUCAAAUUCGAAAAUAAACUCGUUUGGACGCCUCCCUGCGUUACGCUGCAGCCUGUAUCUGGUGACAAAAGUGACAACUAUAGAAUGAUAAACUUUAACAUAAUGUUUGGAAGUGCAGCUUAACAUCAUACAGCACAUGUGGCAGAUAUUACAAACCCUCGCAUACUCAGAUUAGACACAAACACUUUUUCCUUGAACUUUAAAAAUAACAAUUGCAUUUUACCUCUGACGAUAUAACCCUGUUCAGAAUUAAAGAUGAAGGAAUUAAAUACGCCCACGAAAUAAUAGCUCAAGACGAUAUCAUGGAACCACCAUCAACAGAAUUCUUACUACUUGGAUCCAUAGAUAAAAAUAUAAAUUUUUGUUACGGUAUUAAUUGGAAUAUUCUAAAAUCUCAUCCUCCAUGUUCAAAAUGCCUUUCCUUCGCACCUAAGCUUGAUUUUUCGCCCAUCGGUUCAGAAAGACUUAGCGGGUGCAAAACAAGACAUCUGUCUACUUUGUCUGUCUUUUCUUCUAUUGUAUUCAAAAUGCAUUUAUAAAUUAGGAAUAUUUUAUUUUAUACUUUCGGUUGAGGCAACUCACUAGAACUUCAACUAUUGAAAAUCGAGCAUGGUGAUAUUAUGGACUGUCAAGGGUAUUCUGAACAACUAUAAGCGAGGUUUUUCUAAUUUUCUGACCGGGUUCCAGUUUUCUUUAGAGCAUAUUCCUUAGAGCUUUUAAGCUGAAUAAAUGGGGAACGUAUUUACUAUUGUCCAACCAACAAUACUGGAAUCAGUUCCUCCACCAAAUUUACCCAAGCAACCUUCGAGUUCAAAUUAUGAUCCAGGAAAAGAAACUUUACAGAUUUCAUCAGACCUUGAAUCCUGGAACUGUACAAGAUCUUCAUAAAAAGUGCGAGGAUGUUUUCCCAUCUGUAUUUGAAGGAGUUGAGUUAAUACUUGGUCAUGAAUUGGGUAAUCAUUUUCAAAUUGGUCAUUCUAUAAAAUGGAGCACUGAGGCUCCUUCUGGGUAUAGUUUUAUGACAACUUAUGUUGGAACUAAUCAAUUUGGUCCUAUGGAGAAAUAUCCAGUUUUAGCGGGUGCUGUUGAUCCUAGUGGCACGAUGACUGCUAAAAUGAUUCACAAAUACAAAAAUAUACAUGGAAUGUAUUUUACUCAGGUUCAGGGCAAUUCUUUUGCUUCACAAGCUGCGCUUGAUUACAAAGGGUCAGAUUACACAGCUUUUUUAUGGGUAUCCAGUCUAUAUGUCCAGAAUAAUUCGGUGUUGUCGGCUUGGAUUAUCUUAAAAAUGUUACACCAUCUUUGGCACUUGGUGCUGACAUGCUAUAUGAGUAUGGUCCACUAGUUCCUGAAGGUCAGAUGCUUGCAGUGGCUUUUGAUGGAAGAUAUACAGGGUCUAAUUAUAUUAUAAGUGGAACAUUGGGUCCAUAUGGUCUGCAUGCUUGUUAUUAUCGUAAGGAUGGUGAAAAUAUACAGGUGGGUGUUGAUCUGAAAACAAACUUUAGGUCAAGUGAAAGUGUAUGUUCUAUAGGAUAUCAAAUUGAUCUUCCUAAAGCAAAUUUAGUAUUUCGAGGUAAAACCGUUUAACAUUUUUAACUUUUCUGCCAAAUUCAUUAUUGAGCUGUUAACAAUUUUUAAGAAAAUAGUUUUUUACUCUUAUGUAUUUUAUUUUCAAUAUUAAGCUUCUAGAUCAAUGUGGCUCUA
This is an unclassified non-coding RNA of Stegodyphus dumicola, 2200 nucleotides long. The record is from RefSeq and is a predicted model, not a curated record. Lineage: Eukaryota; Metazoa; Arthropoda; Arachnida; Araneae; Eresidae.